AUUGAACGCUGGCGGCAUGCCUUACACAUGCAAGUCGAGCGGCGGCACGGCAAUAGCAAUAUUGUGGGUGGCGAGCGGCGGACGGGUGAGGAAUGCAUCGGGAUCUACCCUGUCGUGGGGGACAACGUAGGGAAACUUACGCUAAUACCGCAUGAUCUGGAGACAGCAAAGCCGGGGACCUUCGGGCCUGGCGCGAUGGGAUGAGCCGAUGUCCGAUUAGCUAGUUGGCGGGGUAAAGGCCCACCAAGGCGACGAUCGGUAGCUGGUCUGAGAGGACGACCAGCCACACUGGAACUGAGACACGGUCCAGACUCCUACGGGAGGCAGCAGUAAGGAAUAUUGCUCAAUGGCCGAAAGGCUGAAGCAGCAACGCCGCGUGGAGGAUGAAAUACUUUUGUAUGUAAACUCCUGUAAGAAGGGAAAAUAUGCAGUUUUUCUGCAUUGAUUGUACCUUCAGAGUAAGCCCCGGCUAACUACGUGCC
This 482-nucleotide ribosomal RNA is filed under the name uncultured bacterium. Its description in RNAcentral is "bacterial SSU rRNA". It matches the Rfam family "Bacterial small subunit ribosomal RNA", at positions 30 to 509 of the family's 1533-position model. The record is from RNAcentral.